Non-coding RNA from Gossypium hirsutum (cotton), 142 nucleotides. The record is from Rfam. Lineage: Eukaryota; Viridiplantae; Streptophyta; Magnoliopsida; Malvales; Malvaceae.
UGUUAAAAAUCUAUCUAUUUGUACUGUUAAAAAUUGGUGUUGUUGACAGAAUAACCAAUAAUAACACGUGACAUACCAUAUGUAUCUCAUGCUGAUGUACAAAGACUAAUUUUAAACAGUAAAAAUAAUAAAAUUUUUAACA